GGCUGUCGGCUGCUACCAUGCAGUCGAACGAACCCUUCGGGGUUAGUGGCGCACGGGUGCGUAACGCGUGGGAACCUGCCUUUAGGUUCGGAAUAACUCAGAGAAAUUUGAGCUAAUACCGGAUAAUGUCUUCGGACCAAAGAUUUAUCGCCUUUAGAUGGGCCCGCGUUAGAUUAGAUAGUUGGUGGGGUAAUGGCCUACCAAGUCGACGAUCUAUAGCUGGUCUGAGAGGAUGAUCAGCCACACUGGGACUGAGACACGGCCCAGACUCCUACGGGAGGCAGCAGUGGGGAAUAUUGGACAAUGGGCGAAAGCCUGAUCCAGCAAUGCCGCGUGAGUGAUGAAGGCCUUAGGGUUGUAAAGCUCUUUUACCAGGGAUGAUAAUGACAGUACCUGGAGAAUAAGCUCCGGCUAACUCCGUGCCAGCAGCCGCGGUAAUACGGAGGGAGCUAGCGUUGUUCGGAAUUACUGGGCGUAAAGCGCGCGUAGGCGGCUUUUCAAGUCAGGGGUGAAAUCCCGGGGCUCAACCCCGGAACUGCCCUUGAAACUGGAUGGCUAGAAUACUGGAGAGGUGAGUGGAAUUCCGAGUGUAGAGGUGAAAUUCGUAGAUAUUCGGAAGAACACCAGUGGCGAAGGCGACUCACUGGACAGUUAUUGACGCUGAGUGCGAAAGCGUGGGGGAGCAAACAGGAUUAGAUACCCUGGUAGUCCACGCCGUAACGAUGAUACUAGCUGCUUGGGCUCAUGGAGCUUGGGUGGCGCAGCUAACGCAUAAGUUAUCCGCCUGGGGAGUACGUCGC
RNAcentral lists this ribosomal RNA (800 nucleotides) under bacterium SCS_30Z1_24. RNAcentral describes it as "bacterial SSU rRNA". It matches the Rfam family "Bacterial small subunit ribosomal RNA", at positions 34 to 889 of the family's 1533-position model. The record is from RNAcentral.